UACAGAGGAUGCAAGCGUUAUCCGGAAUUAUUGGGCGUAAAGAGCUCGUAGGCGGUUUGUCGCGUCUGCUGUGAAAACUCGAGGCUCAACCUCGGGCUUGCAGUGGGUACGGGCAGACUAGAGUGCGGUAGGGGUGACUGGAAUUCCUGGUGUAGCGGUGGAAUGCGCAGAUAUCAGGAGGAACACCGAUGGCGAAGGCAGGUCACUGGGCCGCAACUGACGCUGAGGAGCGAAAGCAUGGGGAGCGAACAGG
This 253-nucleotide ribosomal RNA is filed under the name uncultured bacterium. RNAcentral describes it as "partial 16S ribosomal RNA". It matches the Rfam family "Bacterial small subunit ribosomal RNA", at positions 524 to 776 of the family's 1533-position model. The record is from RNAcentral.